GAUGAACGCUGGCGGCGUGCCUAAUACAUGCAAGUCGAGCGAACGGACGAGAAGCUUGCUUCUCUGAUGUUAGCGGCGGACGGGUGAGUAACACGUGGAUAACCUACCUAUAAGACUGGGAUAACUUCGGGAAACCGGAGCUAAUACCGGAUGAUAUUUUGAACCGCAUGGUUCAAAAGUGAUAGACGGUCUUGCUGUCACUUAUAGAUGGAUCCGCGCUGCAUUAGCUAGUUGGUAAGGUAACGGCUUACCAAGGCAACGAUGCAUAGCCGACCUGAGAGGGUGAUCGGCCACACUGGAACUGAGACACGGUCCAGACUCCUACGGGAGGCAGCAGUAGGGAAUCUUCCGCAAUGGGCGAAAGCCUGACGGAGCAACGCCGCGUGAGUGAUGAAGGUCUUCGGAUCGUAAAACUCUGUUAUUAGGGAAGAACAUAUGUGUAAGUAACUGUGCACAUCUUGACGGUACCUAAUCAGAAAGCCACGGCUAACUACGUG
This 497-nucleotide ribosomal RNA is filed under the name uncultured bacterium. RNAcentral describes it as "partial 16S ribosomal RNA". It matches the Rfam family "Bacterial small subunit ribosomal RNA", at positions 28 to 507 of the family's 1533-position model. The record is from RNAcentral.